RNAcentral lists this transfer RNA (74 nucleotides) under Olea europaea subsp. europaea. It matches the Rfam family "tRNA". Rfam says of the family: Transfer RNA (tRNA) molecules are approximately 80 nucleotides in length. The record is from Rfam by way of RNAcentral. Lineage: Eukaryota; Viridiplantae; Streptophyta; Magnoliopsida; Lamiales; Oleaceae.
AGGCAUGUAGCUCAGAGGAUUAGAGCACAUGGCUACGAAUCAUGGUAUCGGGGUUUCAAAUCCCUCUUUGCCCA